This 90-nucleotide transfer RNA is filed under the name Burkholderiales bacterium. Its description in RNAcentral is "tRNA-Ser". It matches the Rfam family "tRNA". From Rfam's summary of the family: Transfer RNA (tRNA) molecules are approximately 80 nucleotides in length. The record is from RNAcentral. Lineage: Bacteria; Pseudomonadati; Pseudomonadota; Betaproteobacteria; Burkholderiales. RNAcentral also lists the same sequence under 1 other name.
GGAUGGGUGGCCGAGUGGUUUAAGGCAAAGGUCUUGAAAACCUUCGUGGGGGUAACUCCACCGUGGGUUCGAAUCCCACCCCAUCCGCCA